Molecule: long non-coding RNA, 217 nt
Filed under: Mytilus galloprovincialis (Mediterranean mussel)
Lineage: Eukaryota; Metazoa; Mollusca; Bivalvia; Mytilida; Mytilidae
Source: RNAcentral
GCCUUCUCCUAAAAGUUCAUGGUGUUGUUUUUAUCUCUUUGGCUUCUGGUUUCAAUUGCCAGAACAUAAUUUAAGGUACCUCAGUUCUAAGCUGUUGAAAUUAUAUUUCAUGACGACAAGCCGGUUACUUAAAUUUUUCUACUUUGAAACUUCAAAGCCAAAACUGUAAUUUUGAAAAUGAUUACAGAAAUUAUGAUCAACCCGUCAUACUAAUAAU